CAUGCAUAAAUCCAGGAAGUCAGAUUCCUCAAGCUGGUUGCUUAUCGUUGCCAAGUUGCCAACAUCAAACAGAAUGGCAAAUGGGUUCUUUAGAUGUUUUGAAUGCAAUAAGGACGCGCACGAGCUUCGCAAAGGUUACAGUAAUGGGAUCUUGAAGAUAAUAAUAUGUUCAUUCUAUACUGCAGCAGAAGGCUCUCCCCGCUGGCUGUGUGUGUGGGUCUGCUAUUGGAGACGUGCAUAGCCCAGGCAUUUCAGACACUUCCAUGGAGCAUACCGGACAUCCUGCCGUUCCAGUGACCUGUUUCAGGCCGGUCCUAAAGAACACACUGUUACAAUGGCGCCUAUUAUACCCGGGACCAGAGAGCGGAGGACCUGAGCCCUAGGACCAUGCCUCAGGACUACCUGGCAUGAUGACUCCUUGCUGUCCCCAGUCCACCUGGCCGUGCUGCUGCUCCAGUUUCAACUGUUCUGCCUGUGGCUAUGGAACCCUGACCCGUUCACCGGACGUGCUACCUGUCCCAGACCUGCUGUUUUCAACUCUCUAGAGACAGCAGGAGCGGUAGAGAUACUCUAAAUGAUCGGCUUUGAAAAGCCAACUGACAUUUACUCCUGAGGUGCUGACUUGCUGCACCCUCGACAACUACUGUGAUUAUUAUUAUUUGACCAUGCUGGUCAUUUAUGAACAUUUGAACAUCUUGGCCAUGUUCUGUUAUAAUCUCCACCCGGCACAGCCAGAAGAGGACUGGCCACCCCUCAUAGCCUGGUUUCUUCCUAGGUUUUGGCCUUUCUAGGGAGGUUUUCCUAGCCACCGUGCUUCUACACCUGCAUUGCUUGCUGUUUGGGGUUUUAGGCUGGGUUUCUGUACAGCACUUUGAGAUAUCAGCUGAUGUAAGAAGGGCUAUAUAAAUACAUUUGAUUUGAUUUUAAGCACACAUGCUGAAAGUGUUCCAGCAAGCGUGUAGUGAGUGCAGCAUUAUUCAACCUGGUGUAGUGGUAGAUCAUGAGCCUGGAUAAUCAGUUUAGUAUAACAAGAAUCACAUCAGAGCUAUUAGAAUGUUGAGACCAGUGCAUAAAUGUGCUGUUAAAGGGAAACAACAUUUGAGUCAUUGGGACAAAAGAUGUCAUGAAGAAUAGAGAAUUUGCAGUUGUAAUUCUCUAUCUCCGUGAAGGAGAUGAAGAAGAGCUCAGUGUAAGCUCAUGAGGAUAGUGCCAGCCAGGUCCAGGGCUCAGAGAGUAAAAGUCAGACAGGAUCACUGAAGGAGGGCUGACUGUUCUGUGCCAAAGCUGGGCUGUAAACUCUCAAUCAGCUUUUCAAAACCCUCUGGACAAGUUAACCAAGGUUUCAGACAGCACAUCUGUUGACACAAUUUCCCAUUAAUUGCUCAAGCUUUGUGGUGAGCAGUGUGUUUGUGGUCUGUGAAUGUUGGCACAGCCCAGUUGUACAUAGCCCAUUGCUUGUGUUGUAAACUGUCCCACCCCAGCGGCAGAAUUACACAUACCUUGGAUUUGCUUUCAAUCAAGAUUAUGUUAAUCUACCACAAUCUCUUAAACAGGUGCUCAGCCCAGCACAGAGGCAUGUUCACUACAGGCUGCAUUCCAAAAGGCAGUGGUGUAAAGUACUUAAGUAAAAAUACUUGAAAGUAUUACUUAAGUCAUUUUUUGGGGUAUCUGUACUUUACUUUACUAUUUAUAUUUUUGACAACUUUUACUUUCACUUCACUACAUUCCUAAAGAAAAUGACCUACUUUCUAGUCCAUACAUUUUCCUGAAACCCAAAAGUACUUGAUACAUUUUGAAUGCUUAGCAGGACAGGAAAAUUGUUUAAUUCACACACUUAUCAAGAGAACAUCCCUGGUCAUCCCUACUGCCUCUGAUCUGGCGGACUCACUAAACAAAAAUGCUUAGUUUGUAAAUUAUGUCUGACUGUUGGAGCGUGACCCUGGCUAUCCGUAACUUUAAAAAAUAAGAAAUGGUGCUGUCUGGUUUACUUAAUAUAAGGAAUUUGAAAUGAUUUAUACUUUUACUGAUACUUAAGAUACUUAAGUAUAUUUGAGCAAUUACAUUUACUUUUGAUACUUAAGUAUAUUUAAAACCAAAUACUUUAAAACUUUUACUCAAGUAGGAUUUUACUGGGUGACUUUCACUUUUACUUGAGUCAUUUUCAAUUAGGGUAUCUUUACUUUUACUCAAGUAGGAAAACUGGGUACUUUUUCCACCACUGCCAAAAGGGCACUUCAUGCUAGUCAAUAUUUACCCCUACUUCUCCUUUGAAUACAAGUAGCUCAUAUUGUACUCUAAGGGACACACGCUGGUGUAUGAAGUGUGAGUGUGUGAAGAGGGGAUUCAUUCAGAUCUGCCUUAAUUUUAGCUGCCCAGCCGGAUUGGUUGCUUUAUAACGAUAGUUGACCGUUGCUCUCUGUCUGUGAGAAGAUACAGUAACAGGGUAACUAUCUGAGGGUCCACCAGUGUUGAUCACAUGACUUGUCUACGGAGCCUUGACCUGAUAAGAAAACACUUACAUAGCCAUAUUGUGCAAUAGCUCUCUACUUCACCUAAACUGCACAUUCCAGAACCUUUGCUUCUUAGUUUUCAGUAUGAGACAAUAACAAUGUUACCUUCAGCUGUACAUAUAAACUCAGCAAAAAAAUAAACAUCCUCUCACUGUCAA
Oncorhynchus nerka (sockeye salmon) is the source of this 2668-nucleotide long non-coding RNA. RefSeq lists it as uncharacterized. NCBI's taxonomy places the organism in Eukaryota, Metazoa, Chordata, Actinopteri, Salmoniformes, Salmonidae. The transcript is spliced from 3 exons. The record is from RefSeq and is a predicted model, not a curated record.